This 230-nucleotide ribosomal RNA is filed under the name Mycobacterium tuberculosis. Its description in RNAcentral is "partial 16S ribosomal RNA". It matches the Rfam family "Bacterial small subunit ribosomal RNA", at positions 451 to 679 of the family's 1533-position model. The record is from RNAcentral. Lineage: Bacteria; Bacillati; Actinomycetota; Actinomycetes; Mycobacteriales; Mycobacteriaceae.
GGUUAAUACCCAUUAGAUUAGACGUUACCUGCAGAAUAAGCACCGGCUAACUCUGUGCCAGCAGCCGCGGUAAUACAGAGGGUGCGAGCGUUAAUCGGAAUUACUGGGCGUAAAGCGAGUGUAGGUGGCUCAUUAAGUCACAUGUGAAAUCCCCGGGCUUAACCUGGGAACUGCAUGUGAUACCGGUGGUGCUAGAAUAUGUGAGAGGGAAGUAGAAUUCCAGGUGUAGC